This 375-nucleotide long non-coding RNA is filed under the name Olea europaea (common olive). RNAcentral describes it as "long non-coding RNA (OEUR_LNC000001)". The record is from RNAcentral. Lineage: Eukaryota; Viridiplantae; Streptophyta; Magnoliopsida; Lamiales; Oleaceae.
UCAUCUUUUCCAGAAAAAUCCAUUUUGCUAGUUUUCAUUUUCUUGUACCCAAAAUCAAAAUUACAAUCAUCCUAAUCAUCAUCAUCAUCUGAACCCUCCAACAAAGUGACUCUAUCAUUAUAUUCAUUGCCACCACUUCCACUUCCACUAGCUCCAUUCUUUGAACGAUGACAUCCCUUGUACUGGUUAUACAAAGCAUACAAUAAUUUCAUGACCUCAGUUUUUGUGGCUUCAACCUUAACAGAGUCAUACAAGAUACCAAUACAAUGUACAACAAACUCCAACUUAUACCUAGGAUCAAGCACAACUGCUACAAUCAAAAUCUUGUUCAUUUUAUCAACAUUACCCCAAUACUUGUCAAAUUUAAUCUUCAUG